Homo sapiens (human) is the source of this 2031-nucleotide long non-coding RNA. Ensembl annotates it as TPT1 antisense RNA 1. Its record names the gene TPT1-AS1. The record is from Ensembl. Lineage: Eukaryota; Metazoa; Chordata; Mammalia; Primates; Hominidae.
GAGGUGCGCGCGCAGCGUGGGAGGAGGCCAACUCUCGGGGCGCUCCCUAGCCCUGGGUGGGUGGAGCGGGGGAAGCGGAGUACGUUGGACCCGGCUCCGCCCUACCCCACGGGGCCGCCUGGAGAGGUGCUGGGAGCUGGGUGGAGCUUAGAGGAAUUAAACUUUGGCCCUGCGCCUCGUCCAGCCUAGGUUCCACCCUUUUCUGGGAACUUUACACCCCGCCACUCCUGAGCACCGCACACCGGCUUCCUCCCAGUCCCUCAUCUGAGAACUCAUGAAGCCACUUGGAAUCCCUCUCUGCUUUGCCUGGCUCAUUCCAUGUCAAUUUCAGAUCUUCACUUCAGGUCAGCUCCAAGGAGGCUAUCCUUGCCCAUCUUCCUAAAAUAGAGCUCUCAAAACCUGGCUGUUUUCCUUCAGAGCACUGGCCUCCAAUUGCUCCGGUAGAUUGCAAAUGACCUGCUUUCUUUCUGUUCCCGGGCGUUUGGACCCCUGUCUUGGACCGCUGUCGGAUAGUAAAUCCCAAGUAAGGUACCUGCCGUCGGCAGAUUUGAGCUUUCUUCUUGGACACCUAAUACCCAGAGUCCUCCAGGCUCCGGUAGAUUGCAAAUGACCUGCUUUCUUUCUGUUCCCGGGCGGCAUCGGACCCGUCGGAGAGUAAAUCCCAAGUAAGGUACCUGCCGUUGGCAGAUUUGAGCUUUCUUCUUGGACACCUAAUACCCACAGUCCUCCAGGCUCCGGUAGAUUGCAAAUGACCUGCUUUCUUUCUGUUCCCGGGUGGCAUCGACCCGUCGGAGAGUAAAUCCCAAGUAAGGUACCUGCCGUUGGCAGAUUUGAGCUUUCUUCUUGGACACCUAAUACCCACAGUCCUCCAGUAAAUCCCAAGCAAGGUACCUGCCGUCAGCAGAUUUGAGCUUUCUUCUUGGACACCUAAUACCCACAGUCCUCCAAGCUCCGGUAGAUUGCAAAUGACCUGCUUUCUUUCUGUUCCCGGGCUGCGUUCGGACCCCUGUCGGAUAGUAACUCCCAAGUAAGGUACCUGCCGUCGGCAGAUUGGAGCUUUCUUCUUGGAGACCUAAUACCCACAGUCCUCCAGAAAAACAAACAAAGACAUGGAUUUACUGUGCAUAUUAGCAGAUCCAUACUGGAAAAUGCAUGGAGGUUUCAUAUACACCACUUACAGGUUUCCAAAGCCACAAUUUCCUUCAUAUGUUCAAACUCUUCAGGAUGCAGAAAGGCAGUGAACUCCUCCGGAGUAGCUGUCAGGUCACCAUUGAGGUCUGCAGCUUUGAAUCUUCUCUCAUCACGUGGCAGCAUCUUUUUAAAGGUGUGAUGAUCUGAAGAAUCAUGAAACUCUGCGGGGUUUCCUAGGUUUUCAGCUCCUCAGUAGUGACAAAGCCAUACCCAUCAUUGUCGAUUCGAUCAACAAUCUUCCCUAGCCUCUCCUUGCUCUCGUCCGGGGUGAGCUCGUCGAAGUUCUUGGAGUCCUCCUUGCCCAGGAAGGCCUCGUGGUCGUACUGGAAGCUCUGGUUGUCCUCAGGGGGCCGCUCGCCCAGCUCCGAGUCGGGCCGCACCACGCGCUCUUUGCGCACCGUGGGCUUGGCCCGCAGAACCCGCGGCGCCAGCACCAGCGCCAGCAGCAGCCCCAGGGCUAACCCCAGGCGGCCACCGCGCGCCAUCGUCCCGAGGAGAGGGCGGCCGGGAGGGAGACGCUGAGCGAGCGACAACAGCGGCAGCUCGGGAAUGGGGGCUCGGAGCGCGGCGGCCAAGUUUUAUGUUAUGUAUAUUUUACAAGUAAAAAAAUUUUUUCACCUCAGCCUGAACUGAACACUAGCUGACAGACGUUUUGAUUUCUUUGACCAUCACGGAAUCGUGGCCAAGCGCGGUGGCUCACAUCUGUAAUCCCAACACUUUGGGAGGUCAAGAUGGGCGGAUUGCUUGAAUCCAGGUGUUUGAGAUCAGCCUGGGCAACAUGACAAAACCCUGUUUCUAGUAAAAAUACAAAAAUUAACCAGGCUCAAGCCAUGACCAUGC